UACGUAGGGUGCAAGCGUUGUCCGGAAUUAUUGGGCGUAAAGAGCUCGUAGGCGGUUUGUCGCGUCUGCUGUGAAAACUCGGGGCUUAACCCCGGGCCUGCAGUGGGUACGGGCAGACUAGAGUGCGGUAGGGGAGACUGGAAUUCCUGGUGUAGCGGUGAAAUGCGCAGAUAUCAGGAGGAACACCGGUGGCGAAGGCGGGUCUCUGGGCCGACACUGACGCUGAUGCGCGAAAGCCAGGGGAGCGAACGGG
Molecule: ribosomal RNA, 253 nt
Filed under: uncultured bacterium
Lineage: Bacteria
Description: partial 16S ribosomal RNA
Rfam family: Bacterial small subunit ribosomal RNA
Source: RNAcentral